GUUGCUCGGAAUUAUUGGGCGUAAAGCGCACGUAGGCGGCUUAGCAAGUCGGAUGUGAAAUCCCUCGGCUCAACCAAGGAAGUGCAUCCGAAACUGCUGAGCUUGAGUACUUAAGAGGAUCGCGGAAUUCCCGGUGUAGAGGUGAAAUUCGUAGAUAUCGGGAGGAACACCAGUGGCGAAGGCGGCGAUCUGGGAAGAUACUGACGCUGAGGUGCGAAAGCGUGGGGAGCAAACAGG
RNAcentral lists this ribosomal RNA (237 nucleotides) under uncultured bacterium. RNAcentral describes it as "partial 16S ribosomal RNA". It matches the Rfam family "Bacterial small subunit ribosomal RNA", at positions 540 to 776 of the family's 1533-position model. The record is from RNAcentral.